CCCCGUCCCCUGCUGCAGCUCCCGCAGGGAAGGGGCAGCAGCCUGCGGACCGCAGCCCUCAGCCAGCUGGUGCUCUGCAGGAAAAUUCAUACUCCCCAUCAGCGGCUGCCUUGCCAAAGAAAUAAACUGCUGCUCAGGCGGUAGAAGUCUCUCUAUGCCGCCCUCCUGAGGCAAGGGAGAACCUUUCCAACCUCAGAGUGUAAGUGGAAGAAGCACGAAAUCAUCUUAAGUUGAUAAGUACUGAAAAUACUCAGGGAAAAAGGCUUGAAGGCAAGUACCAACCGAGGAUGGAAGAGGCAAGAUGGAUACCAUUGUCGUGAUCCUGAGGAGGCUCCUCUGGGGUUUGGUGAAGUGGCCGAGAGGGAGCGGGUUGCCAGCCACGAGCUGACACUGGGCAGACAGCACAGCUUGGUCCUUCCUGGCAGGGUCACAUCGAGCAGGGAAGAGGCUUUGGAAACCCAACAGGCAGCCUGGCUCCUGCUGUCAGUGAAAAUACUGCAAAAAGCUCCUACUUCCUCAUGUGAUGAACAGACCUCUCUUGGGUAAUCCCUUGAACUGAGGAAGGUGUUGCAGAAACCUGAGUCAUAAUAUACACUCCUUGCUAUGUUGGACAGUGGACGCCAAUGGGAAAGGGGCAUUAACAACAGCACUGUAUGUACAAACAGAGGUGUUUAACAUACAGCCUGCUUGGAAGGGUUUCAUAAUUCCCUCACUCCUUAUAUUAACUUGUUCACUGGGGACAUUUAAUUCCUCUGGAAACUUCAGAGCAAAAGGAUUUGAAAUUAACAAAUACUGCAAGUGUAAUGACUUCUAUGCAUCAAAAUGGAUCCAGACUUGCCUAUUACUUCAGGGUC
This is a long non-coding RNA of Chiroxiphia lanceolata (lance-tailed manakin), 854 nucleotides long. RefSeq lists it as uncharacterized. The record is from RefSeq and is a predicted model, not a curated record. The transcript is spliced from 5 exons. NCBI's taxonomy places the organism in Eukaryota, Metazoa, Chordata, Aves, Passeriformes, Pipridae.